GGGCAUGUAGGCACCCUCCCCCUCCAGCCAAAGGACGUCAUCAUGUGACAGAGGCAUCGGAAACUGCAACAGAUAUGCUACAUCUUCACAGAGUGUCAGUUUUACUCAGCUAUGGAUAUUUACUGAAAUGCCUGCUCCAGUCCAGCAACCAUUGAAGAUGUUGAGUCGAAUUAUUUAAGAAGAGACUUGUCUUAAGAGUAUCAGACCCAGAGAGAAGGAAGGACAACUAUGCUUGGAAAACUGCAGUAGCCAUUCCUCUGAGCCCCAUCUACUUUUUUGAGUCUGUUUCUCUGACUGGAAUCAAAGUUACUAUGAAGAUGCAAAGGGAGAGAUAUUUUGAAAUUAAAGUUGAUAAAUGGGUGGAAAUUCAUCUAAA
Ictidomys tridecemlineatus (thirteen-lined ground squirrel) is the source of this 376-nucleotide non-coding RNA. The record is from RefSeq and is a predicted model, not a curated record. Lineage: Eukaryota; Metazoa; Chordata; Mammalia; Rodentia; Sciuridae.